This 860-nucleotide ribosomal RNA is filed under the name Triticum aestivum (bread wheat). RNAcentral's name for it is "partial small subunit ribosomal RNA". Lineage: Eukaryota; Viridiplantae; Streptophyta; Magnoliopsida; Poales; Poaceae. The record is from RNAcentral.
CUAGCCCCGCCUAGCCACUAGCCCGAGCUCCUGGAGCACUCUCUACCCGCCAUCGCGGCCUUGGCCACCGCCUCUUCCCUCCCUCGAUUCGGCCGAGUCCGAGCCCCUCCCUCGCUCCUUCCACCACCAGUGAGAUCCACUCACUCCGGCGCCCAUGCCCAUGCCCUUUCCCCCUCGCCGGAACCAUCGUGGUCGCGAGCCCCAUCUCCUCCCGUAGCCAUCUCCGCCGGAGUCCAUGCUCUGCCCGACCCCUUCCUCCUCGGCGUGCGCAAAGCCCCUGGUUGGAUGCGCUGUUGAGCGUUGAAUCCAUCCAUAGGCGGAGCGUCGCCGGAGGCCCUCUGUGGCGCCGGCAAUCGCCGCCCGACGCCGGUGUCCUCCCUCUACCUCGCGGGCGAGCGAGGAGAAGAAGACGACGACACAGCGCCCUGCCAGCUGGCCGCGGGUCCCGCCAGUCUGUGGCUGAGCGUUUACCCCGCGGGCCAGCGUGGAUAAGUGACGGGCCCCACACGUGGGACCCACGCGCGUCAGCCCCGCCAUUGUUCCAACGGAUAAGCCCCCUCCGAGAGAGAACGUUUUCCGGCGAAUAUUUCCGCGGCUUCACCACACUUCUCCCCGGUGCCUUCUUCAUCCCCAGCUUGCAGGUCAUGCCGGAUUUGAUUGCUUGCUUGUCGUGGUUUCCGUUCGUGCGAGCUAGGAUAAGCAUUCCAGCCAGAGUCCCUGCGGAGUGGAGUUCACCACCGUCGCCGUUGUUCCGCUGCUAGAGUUAUUCCACUGCUUCGAGUUGUUCUGCUGCUUGCAUAGAGCAACUGAGGAUGGCGUAGUGUCGCCGUACCGAUGUUAUUCAUUGUAAUAUCGUAGAC